UCAAUGGGCGAAAGCCUGAACCAGCCAUGCCGCGUGAAGGAUGACAGCCCUAUGGGUUGUAAACUUCUUUUGUACGGGAAGAAACGCUUCUACGUGUAGAGGUUUGACGGUACCGUACGAAUAAGCAUCGGCUAACUCCGUGCCAGCAGCCGCGGUAAUACGGAGGAUGCAAGCGUUAUCCGGAUUUAUUGGGUUUAAAGGGUACGUAGGCGGGAGCUUAAGUCAGUGGUGAAAUCCUGCAGCUUAACUGUAGAACUGUCAUUGAUACUGGGCUUCUUGAAUGUAGUUGAGGUAGGCGGAAUGUGUAAUGUAGCGGUGAAAUGCUUAGAUAUUACACAGAACACCGAUUGCGAAGGCAGCUUACUAAACUACGAUUGACGCUGAGGUACGAAAGCGUGGGGAGCGAACAGGAUUAGAUACCCUGGUAGUCCACGCUGUAAACGAUGAUCACUCGUUGUUGGCAAUACACCGUCAGCGACUGAGCGAAAGCAUUAAGUGAUCCACCUGGGGAGUACGACCGCAAGGUUGAAACUCAAAGGAAUUGACGGGGGCCCGCACAAGCGGAGGAACAUGUGGUUUAAUUCGAUGAUACGCGAGGAACCUUACCUGGGCUUAAAUGUAGAACGACGGACCGGGAAACUGGUCUUUCUUCGGACGGUCUGCAAGGUGCUGCAUGGCUGUCGUCAGCUCGUGCCGUGAGGUGUCGGGUUAAGUCCCAUAACGAGCGCAACCCUCAUCAUUAGUUGCCAGCGGGUAAUGCCGGGGACUCUAAUGAAACUGCCGGUGUAAACCGAGAGGAAGGUGGGGAUGACGUCAAGUCAGCACGGCCCUUAUGUCCAGGGCUACACACGUGUUACAAUGGUCGGUACAAAGGGCAGCUACCUGGCGACAGGAUGCUAAUCUCGAAAACCGAUCUCAGUUCGGAUCGAAGUCUGCAACUCGACUUCGUGAAGCUGGAUUCGCUAGUAAUCGCGCAUCAGCCAUGGCGCGGUGAAUACGUUCCCGGGCAUUGUACACACCGCCCGUCAAGCCAUGGAGCUGGGGUACCUGAAGUC
This 1055-nucleotide ribosomal RNA is filed under the name uncultured organism. RNAcentral describes it as "bacterial SSU rRNA". It matches the Rfam family "Bacterial small subunit ribosomal RNA", at positions 368 to 1428 of the family's 1533-position model. The record is from RNAcentral.